This 253-nucleotide ribosomal RNA is filed under the name uncultured bacterium. Its description in RNAcentral is "partial 16S ribosomal RNA". It matches the Rfam family "Bacterial small subunit ribosomal RNA", at positions 524 to 776 of the family's 1533-position model. The record is from RNAcentral.
UACGAAGGGGGCAAGCGUUGUUCGGAAUUACUGGGCGUAAAGGGCGCGUAGGCGGCCUGUCAAGUCAGGCGUGAAAUUCCCGGGCUCAACCUGGGGGCUGCGCUUGAUACUGAUUGGCUUGAAUGCGGGAGAGGAUAGUGGAAUUCCCAGUGUAGAGGUGAAAUUCGUAGAUAUUGGGAAGAACACCGGUGGCGAAGGCGGCUAUCUGGCCCGUAAUUGACGCUGAGGCGCGAAAGCGUGGGGAGCAAACAGG